UUAAGCGACUAAGCGUACACGGUGGAUGCCCGCAGUCAGAGGCGAUGAAGGACGUGCUAAUCUGCGAUAAGCGUCGGUAAGGUGAUAUGAACCGUUAUAACCGGCGAUUUCCGAAUGGGGAAACCCAGUGUGUUUCGACACACUAUCAUUAACUGAAUCCAUAGGUUAAUGAGGCGAACCGGGGGAACUGAAACAUCUAAGUACCCCGAGGAAAAGAAAUCAACCGAGAUUCCCCCAGUAGCGGCGAGCGAACGGGGAGCAGCCCAGAGCCUGAAUCAGUAUGUGUGUUAGUGGAAGCGUCUGGAAAGGCGCGCGAUACAGGGUGACAGCCCCGUACACAAAAAUGCACAUAUUGUGAGCUCGAUGAGUAGGGCGGGACACGUGGUAUCCUGUCUGAAUAUGGGGGGACCAUCCUCCAAGGCUAAAUACUCCUGACUGACCGAUAGUGAACCAGUACCGUGAGGGAAAGGCGAAAAGAACCCCGGCGAGGGGAGUGAAAAAGAACCUGAAACCGUGUACGUACAAGCAGUGGGAGCACGCUUAGGCGUGUGACUGCGUACCUUUUGUAUAAUGGGUCAGCGACUUAUAUUCUGUAGCAAGGUUAACCGAAUAGGGGAGCCGAAGGAAACCGAGUCUUAACUGGGCGUUAAGUUGCAGGGUAUAGACCCGAAACCCGGUGAUUAGCCAUGGGCAGGUUGAAGGUUGGGUAACACUAACUGGAGGACCGAACCGACUAAUGUUGAAAAAUUAGCGGAUGACUUGUGGCUGGGGGUGAAAGGCCAAUCAAACCGGGAGAUAGCUGGUUCUCCCCGAAAGCUAUUUAGGUAGCGCCUCGUGAAUUCAUCUCCGGGGGGUAGAGCACUGUUUCGGCAAGGGGGUCAUCCCGACUUACCAACCCGAUGCAAACUGCGAAUACCGGAGAAUGUUAUCACGGGAGACACACGGCGGGUGCUAACGUCCGUCGUGAAGAGGGAAACAACCCAGACCGCCAGCUAAGGUCCCAAAGUCAUGGUUAAGUGGGAAACGAUGUGGGAAGGCCCAGACAGCCAGGAUGUUGGCUUAGAAGCAGCCAUCAUUUAAAGAAAGCGUAAUAGCUCACUGGUCGAGUCGGCCUGCGCGGAAGAUGUAACGGGGCUAAACCAUGCACCGAAGCUGCGGCAGCGACACUAUGUGUUGUUGGGUAGGGGAGCGUUCUGUAAGCCUGUGAAGGUGUGCUGUGAGGCAUGCUGGAGGUAUCAGAAGUGCGAAUGCUGACAUAAGUAACGAUAAAGCGGGUGAAAAGCCCGCUCGCCGGAAGACCAAGGGUUCCUGUCCAACGUUAAUCGGGGCAGGGUGAGUCGACCCCUAAGGCGAGGCCGAAAGGCGUAGUCGAUGGGAAACAGGUUAAUAUUCCUGUACUUGGUGUUACUGCGAAGGGGGGACGGAGAAGGCUAUGUUGGCCGGGCGACGGUUGUCCCGGUUUAAGCGUGUAGGCUGGUUUUCCAGGCAAAUCCGGAAAAUCAAGGCUGAGGCGUGAUGACGAGGCACUACGGUGCUGAAGCAACAAAUGCCCUGCUUCCAGGAAAAGCCUCUAAGCAUCAGGUAACAUCAAAUCGUACCCCAAACCGACACAGGUGGUCAGGUAGAGAAUACCAAGGCGCUUGAGAGAACUCGGGUGAAGGAACUAGGCAAAAUGGUGCCGUAACUUCGGGAGAAGGCACGCUGAUAUGUAGGUGAAGUCCCUCGCGGAUGGAGCUGAAAUCAGUCGAAGAUACCAGCUGGCUGCAACUGUUUAUUAAAAACACAGCACUGUGCAAACACGAAAGUGGACGUAUACGGUGUGACGCCUGCCCGGUGCCGGAAGGUUAAUUGAUGGGGUUAGCCGCAAGGCGAAGCUCUUGAUCGAAGCCCCCGGUAAACGGCGGCCGUAACUAUAACGGUCCUAAGGUAGCGAAAUUCCUUGUCGGGUAAGUUCCGACCUGCACGAAUGGCGUAAUGAUGGCCAGGCUGUCUCCACCCGAGACUCAGUGAAAUUGAACUCGCUGUGAAGAUGCAGUGUACCCGCGGCAAGACGGAAAGACCCCGUGAACCUUUACUAUAGCUUGACACUGAACAUUGAGCCUUGAUGUGUAGGAUAGGUGGGAGGCUUUGAAGUGUGGACGCCAGUCUGCAUGGAGCCGACCUUGAAAUACCACCCUUUAAUGUUUGAUGUUCUAACGUUGACCCGUAAUCCGGGUUGCGGACAGUGUCUGGUGGGUAGUUUGACUGGGGCGGUCUCCUCCUAAAGAGUAACGGAGGAGCACGAAGGUUGGCUAAUCCUGGUCGGACAUCAGGAGGUUAGUGCAAUGGCAUAAGCCAGCUUGACUGCGAGCGUGACGGCGCGAGCAGGUGCGAAAGCAGGUCAUAGUGAUCCGGUGGUUCUGAAUGGAAGGGCCAUCGCUCAACGGAUAAAAGGUACUCCGGGGAUAACAGGCUGAUACCGCCCAAGAGUUCAUAUCGACGGCGGUGUUUGGCACCUCGAUGUCGGCUCAUCACAUCCCGGGCUGAAGUAGGUCCCAAGGGUAUGGCUGUUCGCCAUUUAAAGUGGUACGCGAGCUGGGUUUAGAACGUCGUGAGACAGUUCGGUCCCUAUCUGCCGUGGGCGCUGGAGAACUGAGGGGCUGCUCCUAGUACGAGAGGACCGGAGUGGACGCAUCACUGGUGUUCGGGUUGUCAUGCCAAUGGCACUGCCCGGUAGCUAAAUGCGGAAGAGAUAAGUGCUGAAAGCAUCUAAGCACGAAACUUGCCCCGAGAUGAGUUCUCCCUGACUCCUUGAGAGUCCUGAAGGAACGUUGAAGACGACGACGUUGAUAGGCCGGGUGUGUAAGCGCAGCGAUGCGUUGAGCUAACCGGUACUAAUGAACCGUGAGGCUUAACCU
This 2897-nucleotide ribosomal RNA is filed under the name Escherichia coli. RNAcentral's name for it is "23S ribosomal RNA". It matches the Rfam family "Bacterial large subunit ribosomal RNA". Lineage: Bacteria; Pseudomonadati; Pseudomonadota; Gammaproteobacteria; Enterobacterales; Enterobacteriaceae. The record is from RNAcentral.